RNAcentral lists this unclassified non-coding RNA (527 nucleotides) under Hevea brasiliensis (rubber tree). The record is from RNAcentral. Lineage: Eukaryota; Viridiplantae; Streptophyta; Magnoliopsida; Malpighiales; Euphorbiaceae.
UAAUAAUCCAAUUCAAGAUUUAAUGCUCAUUCAAGUAUGAUUUUUUAAGGAAACAAUUACAUAAAAUUAUUUUAAAAACUGAGAAUCAAUUCAGAAUCGUAUCAAACCAAAUCGGAUUUGAAAAAUUGAGAAUCGUACCGAAUUGAAACUGAAAUGGAACUAAAUUAAAAUUUUGGUUCGAUUUCAGUUCCUAGGCAGACCCAAACUAAGCCAGAAUGCACACCCUUAGUAGGAUUAAUAUUAAGAAACCGAUCUGGCAUGUCUUCUUUAUUCUUUGAAGUACCCAUUAAACUAUCAUGAAAAGAUCAAUGGAAUUUGUUUAGGUGAAUCCAUCAUUUGAGCCGGUAUGCCACAGUCUGUACUUUCAUCGUUAAGGUGUAACUGUGAAUCAUUUUUCAUUCAUCCUUUGUCUCAAUGUCCAGCAGUGGUAGUUCAUUGUUUAUCAAGUUCAUUUGUCUAGAAAAUUCUCAUUCCAUCUGAUUUUAACGGUUGGUCUGAUGCAGGAGCACUGGAUUCCUUGAUAUGGA